GUCCAGGAGGGAGGUGGGGGAGUCAGCCCCCCACCCGGCCAGCCGCCCCGUCCGGGAGGGAGGUGGGGGGGUCAGCCCCCCGCCCGGCCAGCCACCCCGUCCGGGAGGGAGGUGGGGGUGUCAGCCCCACGUCCGGGAGGGAGGUGGGGGGGUUCAGCCCCCCGCCCGGCCAGCCGCCCCGUCUGGGAGGGAGGUGGGGUCAGCCCCCCGCCCGGCCAGCCGCCCCGUCCGGGAGGUGAGGGGCGCCUCUGCCCAGCCGCCCCUACUGGGAAGUGAGGAGCCCCUCUGCCGGGCCAGCCACCCCGUCCGGGAGGGAGGUGGGGGGCUCAGCCCCCCGCCCGGCCAGCCGACCCGUCCGGGAGGGAGGUGGGGGGGUCAGCCCCCCGCCCGGCCAGCCGCCCCGUCCAGGAGGUGAGGGGCGCCUCUGCCCGGCCGCCCCUACUGGGAAGUGAGGAGCCCCUCUGCCCAGCCAGCCGCCCCGUCCGGGAGGGAGGUGGGGGGGUCAGCCCCCCGCCCGGCCAGCCGCCCCGUCCGGGAGGGAGGUGGGGGGGUCAGCCCCCCGCCCGGCCAGCCGCCCCGUCCGGGAGGUGAGGGGCGCCUCUGCCCGGCCACCCCUACUGGGAAGUGAGGAGCCCCUCUGCCCAGCCACCACCUCGUCUGGGAGGUGUACCCAACAGCUCAUUGAGAACGGGCCGGGAUGACAAUGGCGGUUUUGUGGAAUAGAAAGGGGGGAAAGGUGGGGAAAAGAUUGAGAAAUCGGAUGGUUGCCGUGUCUGUGUAGAAAGA
This 786-nucleotide long non-coding RNA is filed under the name Homo sapiens (human). Its description in RNAcentral is "HSALNT0298475". The record is from RNAcentral. Lineage: Eukaryota; Metazoa; Chordata; Mammalia; Primates; Hominidae.